Diceros bicornis minor is the source of this 609-nucleotide long non-coding RNA. RefSeq lists it as uncharacterized. NCBI's taxonomy places the organism in Eukaryota, Metazoa, Chordata, Mammalia, Perissodactyla, Rhinocerotidae. The record is from RefSeq and is a predicted model, not a curated record. The transcript is spliced from 3 exons.
AAAAUAGCAUUGAAACUGCUUCAGCUGUCUUAGACCAGAUGCUCUGUGUUUAUGAUGUCCUCUUUGUUUUUGCAUCAGUUGCGAUGAAAAUGAGAAAAAAAGUAUUAACUCCUUUGGAAAGGAGAAGUCAAGAAGCAGCAGGUGCUGCUACACCUGCACCCACCACAAGUGGAGAUCUGACAUCUGAAAGAGCAGAGGAGACUCUUGUGGCUCAGAAAAGAAAAAACACAACCAAAGAAAAUACUGGAACAAAAAGGAAUAAGGUGACCCGGGAGCAGAUUCAACCUAUCCUUCAGUAGCCAGCUUAUCUGCAACAAUGGGCAUUCCACCGUCUCUCCAGAUCUCAUCAUCAACUCCAUCCUCCACUUCAUUAACUGAGAUAAAACAACUUCAUGAAAGUACUCUGCUGCAGCUCAAAUAAACCAGGCCACUGUGGAGAAAGGAGAUUAGAGGUAAACAAACCUGUCCUCUGUUUUUCUGUUAGCAUCCCAGCCAUUGGGAAAUGCUGUGGAUACACAGUGGAGGACUUGGCUCUAAUCAGAUAUCCUUUACCUGAGCCAAUUUAGAAUAGGGAAUAUGAGCCACUACAUGUCUUUCUCAUCACUUGUA